ACCGCUCAGGAGCUCCUGGAGGAGGCAGGUGCAGGUGCCGGCUGCUGCAGCGCAGUAGCUGCUGGAGGCUGGCGAGGCCCGGAGGCGGUGCAGGAAGCCUCCGACCACGCGGGCUCCUGAUCGCGGGCGCCCACAGCGCGGACAUGGCGGGCUGGUGGCCGGCGUUGUCGCGCACGGCCCGGCGCCACCCGUGGCCCACCAACGUGCUGCUCUACGUUGCUCGAGCAACGUAGCUCUACGCUCUACGAGCGUGCCGUAGCUCGCUCGUCUCCGCCGGGGACGUGCUGCAGCAACGGCUGCAGGGCCGCUAGGCCGACUGGCGCCAGACGCGGCGCGUGGCCACGUUGGUGGUGACCUUCCACGCCAACUUCAACUACGUGUGGCUGGGCCUGCUGGAGCGCGCGCUCCCGGGCCGAGCGCCGCGCGCCAUGCUGGCCAAGUUGCUGUGCGACCAGGUGGUCGGUGCGCCCAUCGCGGUCUCGGCCUUCUACGCCGGUAUGAGCAUUCUCCAGGGAAAGGAUGACAUAUUUUUGGACCUGAAACAGAAAUUCUGGAACACCUAUAUGGAACAUGGAGCUGAUCCAGGACACCUCCCGCCCGCCACUGGAGUACGUGAAGGGGGUCCCGCUCAUCAAGUACUUUGCAGAGGCACUGGGGCCCCUGCAGAGCUUCCAGGCCCGGCCUGAUGACCUGCUCAUCAGCACCUACCCCAAGUCCGGCACUACCUGGGUAAGCCAGAUUCUGGACAUGAUCUACCAGGGUGGUGACCUGGAGAAGUGUCACCGAGCUCCCAUCUUCAUGCGGGUGCCCUUCCUUGAGUUCAAAGCCCCAGGGAUUCCCUCAGGGAUGGAGACUCUGAAAGACACACCGGCCCCACGACUCCUGAAGACACACCUGCCCCUGGCUCUGCUCCCCCAGACUCUGUUGGAUCAGAAGGUCAAGGUGGUCUAUGUUGCCCGCAACGCAAAGGAUGUGGCAGUUUCCUACUACCACUUCUACCACAUGGCCAAGGUGCACCCUGAGCCUGGGACCUGGGACAGCUUCCUGGAGAAGUUCAUGGUCGGAGAAGUGUCCUACGGAUCCUGGUACCAGCACGUGCAGGAGUGGUGGGAGCUGAGCCGCACCCACCCUGUUCUCUACCUCUUCUAUGAAGACAUGAAGGAGAACCCGAAAAGGGAGAUUCAAAAGAUCCUGGAGUUUGUGGGGCGCUCCCUGCCAGAGGAGACCGUGGACUUCGUGGUUCAGCACACGUCGUUCAAGGAGAUGAAGAAGAACCCUAUGACCAACUACACCACCGUCCCCCAGGAGUUCAUGGACCACAGCAUCUCCCCCUUCAUGAGGAAAGGCAUGGCUGGGGACUGGAAGACCACCUUCACCGUGGCGCAGAAUGAGCGCUUCGAUGCGGACUAUGCGGAGAAGAUGGCAGGCUGCAGCCUCAGCUUCCGCUCUGAGCUGUGAGAGGGGCUCCUGGAGUCACUGCAGAGGGAGUGUGCGAAUCAAACCUGACCAAGCGGCUCAAGAAUAAAAUAUGAAUUGAGGGCCCGGGACGGUAGGUCAUGUCUGUAAUCCCAGCAAUUUGGAGGCUGAGGUGGGAGGAUCAUUUGAGCCCAGGAGUUCGAGACCAACCUGGGCAACAUAGUGAGAUUCUGUU
Long non-coding RNA from Homo sapiens (human), 1651 nucleotides. The record is from Ensembl. NCBI's taxonomy places the organism in Eukaryota, Metazoa, Chordata, Mammalia, Primates, Hominidae.